Molecule: long non-coding RNA, 691 nt
Organism: Oncorhynchus keta (chum salmon)
Lineage: Eukaryota; Metazoa; Chordata; Actinopteri; Salmoniformes; Salmonidae
Exons: 4
Source: RefSeq, a predicted model, not a curated record
AUCUGUGUCUGGUGUUAGCUAGUUACCGGCUAGCUAGGUCUUCAUCUGUGUCUGGUGUUAGCUAGUUACCGGCUAGCUAGGUCUUCAUCUGUGUCUGGUGUUAGCUAGUUACCGGCUAGCUAGGUCUUCAUCCGUGUCUGGUGUUAGCUAGGUCUUCAUCUGUGUCUGGUGUUAGCUAGUUACCGGCUAGCUAGGUCUUCAUCUGUGUCUGGUGUUAGCUAGUUACCGGCUAGCUAGGUCUUCAUCUGUGUCUGGUGUUAGCUAGUUACCGGCUAGCUAGGUCUUCAUCUGUGUCUGGUGUUAGCUAGUUACCGGCUAGCUAGGUCUUCAUCUGUGUCUGGUGUUAGCUAGUUACCGGCUAGCUAGGUCUUCAUCUGUGUCUGGUGUUAGCUAGUUACCGGCUAGCUAGGUCUUCAUCUGUGUCUGGUGUUAGCUAGUUACCGGCUAGCUAGGUCUUCAUCUGUGUCUGGUGUUAGCUAGUUACCGGCUAGCUAGGUCUUCAUCUGUGUCUGGUGUUAGCUAGUUACCGGCUAGCUAGGUCUUCAUCUGUGUCUGGUGUUAGCUAGUUACCGGCUAGCUAGGUCUUCAUCUGUGUCUGGUGUUAGCUAGUUACCGGCUAGCUAGGUCUUCAUCUGUGUCUGGUGUUAGCUAGUUACCGGCUAGCUAGGUCUUCAUCUGUGUCUGGUGUUAG